Molecule: ribosomal RNA, 438 nt
Filed under: uncultured bacterium
Lineage: Bacteria
Description: bacterial SSU rRNA
Rfam family: Bacterial small subunit ribosomal RNA
Source: RNAcentral
UUGCACAAUGGGCGCAAGCCUGAUGCAGCCAUGCCGCGUGUAUGAAGAAGGCCUUCGGGUUGUAAAGUACUUUCAGCAGUGAGGAAGGUGGAUAUGUUAAUAGCAUAUUCAUUUGACGUUAGCUGCAGAAGAAGCACCGGCUAACUCCGUGCCAGCAGCCGCGGUAAUACGGAGGGUGCGAGCGUUAAUCGGAAUUACUGGGCGUAAAGCGCAUGCAGGUGGUUUGUUUAAGUCAGAUGUGAAAGCCCGGGGCUCAACCCUCGGAAUUGCAUUUGAAACUGGCAAACUAGAGUACUGUAGAGGGGGUAGAAUUUCAGGUGUAGCGGUGAAAUGCGUAGAGAUCUGAAGGAAUACCGGUGGCGAAGGCGGCCCCCUGGACAGAUACUGACACUCAGAUGCGAAAGCGUGGGGAGCAAACAGGAUUAGAUACCCUGGUAG